Molecule: long non-coding RNA, 419 nt
Filed under: Erythranthe guttata (spotted monkey flower)
Lineage: Eukaryota; Viridiplantae; Streptophyta; Magnoliopsida; Lamiales; Phrymaceae
Description: long non-coding RNA (EGUT_LNC002390)
Source: RNAcentral
UUAUUUUCAAAGGAAAUAGAGAGAUUUUUUUUUGUCAAAAUUCUCCAGCCACACACUUGGCAAUACCUCAUUGGUCAGAAGCACAUACUCACAAUCACCUGUUGUCCUCUUCUUCAUGUGAUUCUUACAAACUCAUAUUUCAUGGCUAAAAAAUAAUCAAAGAGGAUUAGUGGUGAUAGCCGUUGCCAAGUAGACAUAUAUGCCACGUCAAGAUUCCCAAAUGCCACCUGUAUAUCAUCACUACCAAUCUAGAUAAUGAUAUUCAUAGAUAAGGCUCUCAUGUCAUAAGUCAUAACACUAUUAAUUCAUAUAUAAAUACCUUGAUUUGCCUCCUUAGAAAUCAACCCAAACAAACACAUUCCUUGCAAAUACACAUUCUUUCAUUUGAUAAUACAAUAAUGGCUGCCUCUUCAAUGGCU